This 74-nucleotide transfer RNA is filed under the name Caudoviricetes sp. RNAcentral describes it as "tRNA-Arg". It matches the Rfam family "tRNA". From Rfam's summary of the family: Transfer RNA (tRNA) molecules are approximately 80 nucleotides in length. Their secondary structure includes four short double-helical elements and three loops (D, anti-codon, and T loops). Lineage: Duplodnaviria; Heunggongvirae; Uroviricota; Caudoviricetes. The record is from RNAcentral.
UGGGAUGUAGCGCAAAUGGAGAGAGCAACGGGCUUCUAAGCCGUGGGGUAUGGGUUCGAGUCCCAUCAUCCCAA